This 476-nucleotide ribosomal RNA is filed under the name uncultured bacterium. RNAcentral's name for it is "partial 16S ribosomal RNA". It matches the Rfam family "Bacterial small subunit ribosomal RNA", at positions 29 to 507 of the family's 1533-position model. The record is from RNAcentral.
AUGAACGCUGGCGGCGUGCCUAACACAUGCAAGUCGAACGAAGCACCUUACCUGAUUCUUCGGAUGAAAGUUUGGUGACUGAGUGGCGGACGGGUGAGUAACGCGUGGGUAACCUGCCCUGUACAGGGGGAUAACAGCUGGAAACAGCUGCUAAUACCGCAUAAGCGCACGAGGAGACAUCUCCUUGUGUGAAAAACUCCGGUGGUACAGGAUGGGCCCGCGUCUGAUUAGCUGGUUGGCAGGGUAACGGCCUACCAAGGCAACGAUCAGUAGCCGGUCUGAGAGGAUGAACGGCCACAUUGGAACUGAGACACGGUCCAAACUCCUACGGGAGGCAGCAGUGGGGAAUAUUGCACAAUGGGGGAAACCCUGAUGCAGCAACGCCGCGUGAGUGAAGAAGUAUUUCGGUAUGUAAAGCUCUAUCAGCAGGGAAGAUAAUGACGGUACCUGACUAAGAAGCUCCGGCUAAAUACGUG